CUUUCCCUCUGUCGGCAGGCCUAACACAUGCAAGUCGAACGGUAACAGGGAUCAGCUUGCUGAUUCGCUGACGAGUGGCGGACGGGUGAGUAAUGUCUGGGAAACUGCCUGAUGGAGGGGGAUAACUACUGGAAACGGUAGUUAAUACCGCAUAACGUCGCAAGACCAAAGAGGGGGACCUGCGGGCCUCUUGCCAUCGGAUGUGCCCAGAUGGGAUUAGCUAGUAGGUGGGGUAACGGCUCACCUAGGCGACGAUCCCUAGCUGGUCUGAGAGGAUGACCCGCCACACUGGAACUGAGACACGGUCCAGACUCCUACGGGAGGCAGCAGUAGGGAAUAUUGCACAAUGGGCGCAAGCCUGAUGCAGCCAUGCCGCGUGUAUGAAGAAGGCCUUCGGGUUUUAAAAUUCUUUCAGCGGGGAGGAAGGGAGUAAAGUUAAUACCUUUGCGCAUUGACGUUACCCGCAGAAGAAGCACCGGCUAACUCCGUG
RNAcentral lists this ribosomal RNA (490 nucleotides) under uncultured bacterium. RNAcentral describes it as "partial 16S ribosomal RNA". It matches the Rfam family "Bacterial small subunit ribosomal RNA", at positions 36 to 507 of the family's 1533-position model. The record is from RNAcentral.